RNAcentral lists this non-coding RNA (24 nucleotides) under Arabidopsis thaliana (thale cress). The record is from RNAcentral. Lineage: Eukaryota; Viridiplantae; Streptophyta; Magnoliopsida; Brassicales; Brassicaceae.
UCCAGCUCAACCAAAUUAAUGCCU